CGCAACGCAGCGCUCACUCCUGCAUUCUCUUUCGUUGGUGCUUCACUCAAUAUUCCGCUGCACAGCACACGAACAUGGGCCAAGGGCAGGUGCACCGAGUGUCGGCUAUCCAGCCGGACGCGCGUCGCAAAUGCCCGAUAUCGACGGCGAAGACCAUGACCGCAGCAGCCGCAGCGCCAGCAACGGCCGUCACACCGACCAAACCGCUGCAGUCCAGUGCUACGGCCGACGCGCCCGCCGCAGCGCCUCUAUCGCGUCCGUAUAGUCUAGCGUCCAAAGCUGGCAACCCGCAAGAUGAAAACGGCUACGCCAUAGACGGAGUGUGCACAGCGACGAAGCCAUUGCCCUCGGCACUCAGAACACCGCACAAGCCGGAUGCCGACCGCUACACUGGCGGAUCGACAGGGACACCCCAGAGAGACAGCGGGCAUCAUCACGGCAGCGGCAGCGCCAGUGUCGCCAUCAGUUACCCAGAUCACAUGGAUAGUAGCCGCUUGCUCGUCCCCCUCGCCCUCAAUCCCUCUGAUAUCGACAAGGUCUCUGGCGCCGACUCCACGGGCGCGCGACACGUCUAUGGCUCCACCACUGCCGUAUCCACCGCUCAGGCGAACAAGCGCCGCGAGUCGGAGUUCUGCGAAGCCGCCAGCGUCGCGGGAGCGGAAGAGGUCUUGAAUGCGCCAGUUGGCGAGCUGGAAUGCAUGGCGUCGGGCUUUCUCUCCAUAAGUGACUACAUAUUUGUCGCUGAGUCGCUCAAGACGGUGUCGGCGAGGAUGUUGGAGGAGGUGGGCGUCAACAACAGGGGCGCCAUGAGCGGCGGUGCCAACGCUCCUCUGCGCCAGAUUGUGGUCGACCACCACCCCGAUGCAGCGACGGCGUUGACCGCGUCGUGGGUGGCGAUGCGCGACGCACUGGUGGCUCGCAAACGCGGCAGCGUCCUCGACCACACAAGCGCUGUGAAGAGCCGCGAUGGCGGUGCCACCAUCGUCAGAGGCGCCACGGGCAUCAGCGGCUUUGCGUCCUCGACAACAACAGCGGCGCCUCAACGAGAUGACCACGGCGAUGCGGAGCGCGCCGCGAGCUACUCGAAGAUGAAGAGCUUGGAUGACGCAGAGACGACAGAUGCCUGCGACGAGACCGCACCGCACCUGUUCAAUACCGAAAAGGCGGACUGGAGCGGCGACGACGACAGCAGAGGCAGUGUGAAGACGCGGAUGGGCGUCGUCUCCGUUUCCGGGGCGUCGUUGGCGACACACACAGCGGCAGGGCGCGACGACGGCCUCGGUAGCGAGAGCGAAGAGACGACGGAGAUGAACAAAACAGUGGCGGAGACGGGCAAGGGCGCUGCGGCGCCGACGACGCCGCUCACAUCGCGGCCAAUGGACACCGUAGCUCCAAUGGCAAACCUGAACGGCGUGUUCAGCGUCACGGGACACGUGCCAGACCGUGUCCCCUUCCCGCACCUCCCGUCGCAGCCGCUGGCGGAGCUUACCAGGGUACCAGCGCCACCGCCGCGGCCACUCUCCAUGUCGGAUCUCACCGCCAUCGCCGAGCAGGACGACGUGGUGGACUUUUACCUGCAGUCUUUGGCGAAGCGUGUGCGGGGAAUUGAGAGCAAGCUGCGGGUGAUGAAUCCGUCCUCGGUGUUGCGGUUCUUCUUGACCUCCGCGCUUUCCGAUGCAGACUCCUCUGGCAUGUCGGCUCUGUUGCCCGCCACGACGUCAGUGCCGGUGCGUCUACCUGGCUGCGUAGACGACAGCUCUGCCGCGGACCCGCAAAGCAGUGGUACGUGGAUUUCGAAGAAGGAGAUCGUGUUGCCAGCCAUGAACAAGGAGGAAGCGCAGGCGGCGCAGACCCGUGAAGACGCGCUGGCUGCCAUGGGCGGUGACCUUGUCAGGCUGUUCAGCGACACGAAGGACAUCACACUUCGCUACAUGCUCAUCUUCGCCGAGAGCAUGCCGCUCGGCAUCAACUCGCGACUGAAUCACGACUACCUCUUACCCACUGCCGCCAUCCCGGAGAACUACGUUGGAUGCGGCGUUCACGCGCGCCGCAAGAAGGACUUCUUUGUCUCUAUGACGGAGCGCGUCGCGCUGCUGAGUGGGCACCACAGCUUUAGAACGCCCGAGACACUGUUGCUGGGGAUCAGCCAGCUGUCCAACCUCGCGUCGCAGAUGAUGUCGUCGUUUGCGCUUGGUGCCGUUCUUGGCUGUGUAUCGCGCUGGCGUGAGCUGCAUAAGUCAGGCCAUACCGCCUCGGACGAGGUGGUGGAGACGAUGGAGCGGUUCGCGACGGCGUACUGCACCGGCUACAAAAUCCUCAUGAACGACGCGUUCCCCACUAUGCGGAAGCAGUACCCAAACCUGUUCAUUGUCAGCUCCUUCGCCGUGAAGGAGGAGAACAGUGGAGGGGCGCCACCGAUGCUGACGGUCGCGAUGUCGAUACUCAUGAAGCUUCUCUUCCUCUUCGCUGGCGGACGCGAGAGCAUCCGCGCCGAUGACCGACGCAUGAUGGCGGAUGCCCUACGGGAAGAACAGCAGCGGCGGGCGGAGCGGCGCACGCCGACAGCUGCACCACACCCCUCGCCUGUCUCGAGUAUCAGCGUCGCUGCAGUGCCGCCGGUAGCGGCUGCUACCGCCCGUCUCUCGGAGUCGGCAGCCACUACGAAUGCAUGGCGCGAGCGAGCCGGCAGUGCGCCACGCAACGCAGCGUCCCUGCCCGUUCCCGUCGCAGCAGAUGCGACGGGCGACUUUAGCCUCGUGUGCAGCGAGGGCAAGGCAGGAGACGCAUGCAAGCUCGGCGAUGAUGUGGCCCUUGCCGUUGCUCUGCAGGUGCCUUCUGCCACCCUCAUCGUGGACAUGGGUGCGCUGCUAAUGAGCGGCCCGCUGGCGGCGCACAGGUCGACAGCGGCCUUGGUGCGCACAGCGCGGGCGGUGAGUUGCACGUGGCGGGUUCUGUUUCAGGCCGCAGGCCUUCUGCCCUUUGGCCGUGCCUGUCCAGUGGAGAUGGCGAAGUGGCUGCCGCUUUUUCCUCUAUACACCCUCAGCACAGGUGCGAAGCACGUGAUGCUUUCGGUGCAUGCCAGGGCGGCCGGACAGACGCCGCUCAAUUUCGGGCCGGUGCUGCGAGAGGACGCCCUGCAGUCUGCGGUUGACUUCAUCCAAGAUUCGGCGCGUGCGCAGGACGAGAAGAAGCUGUCCGUGUUGGGGCUGGGCACGACGACCAGCGAAUGGAGCUUGCACCUGUCACCAACGGCGAUCGAGUCGUCGCCGGCGAGCCGCAAAGGUGGUAUGAGCUGGCCAAGCACACUUACGCUAGGCAGCCCCGUCGUGCCAGUGAUUGCCGCCGCAGAGAAGCCCGUCGCACCGAUGUCAGCGCAGCGCUCCUACCAUCUCCAUCCCUCCUUCACAGCGGCGCCGGCACACUCUUGGAGCAGCACUUUAAAUGAAGACUCUUUCCACGCGAAGCCGACAGUGCGAGCCACGCCAGGCAUAGCCACGGAGCAGCGGCAGGACUUCUACGAGCUGUGCGCACGCCAGUCCGCGGCGCCGUUCUUGCCAGGUGUAAACAUCACGAAUCAGGUGCACGCCUUCCCGCUGCCCGGCGGCGUGGCGAUGCUGCGGGUGGAGAAGCUUGCAGACCGCUCCCCGGCCACGGUGCAGCGUUUGAAGACGUACCAUGACCGGCUAGCGCUGAUCAUGUCAUGGCGGCGUGUGUCGCUGAGCCACUCGCACAGCUGCACGCCAGCGACAGAUGAGGUGGCGGCAGCGACGGCAACGGGGCAGACAGGCGAUGCCUGCAUCACCACCACAGUGGUAGAAGCGCCGGUGCACGAGGGCGAUGAGCUCACGAUUCGCUGGGGCAACCCGCCAAAGGGCCGAGCAGCCGCGACGGCGAUGAGUGUGCAGGCCAGCUUCUGCAACCCGAGCGGCUUCAUGAACCGGCGAUCGUCCACGGCGGUGCAGAGUAUCGCAGUGAGCGAGGCAGCGCAGACAGCAUCAGCGGCAGCCGUGCUCAGCGCGCAGGAAUCAGUGGACUCAAACGAGUCCCACGCACGCGCGCACAGCAGCCACUACCCCACGCUGGCAGCCGCGAUACGGCAUAAAAGGAAGUCUCUGCUUUUCUUUGCGACUGCGUUUUCGAGCGCGGCCCCUCCGCCCCCUCCACGCUCCCAGAAGACUUCUCGCGCCGUGUCUCUGGAGACGGUUGUCGCCGCCGCUCCUGCUGUCGAACCGACGGAGGAGAGCUUGCCUGACGUGCACGUCCCUGCGAUGCAGCGCCGCCGCAUUUGCCUAAUCCUGGCAACAGCGAACCCCAGGGAGUUUCUCGUCGUGUUGGACACGCCAAACAGCAUUGCGCCCUGUGAGGCUGCGUCGCUCCGCACGCCGAGUGUCGUGGGUGUCCUCCACCACCGCCGGCACUGCGCGCCGUUCACGCGCGAGGUGAGCCGUGAGUGCGUAUGGACGAACCCGGAGUUCGCUCAGAGCUCUAGCGCCGGCGUUCCCGCCCCCGGCGCGCCGCCGCUUUCUUGGGCGCCCGCCGGGCUGUCCGUGAUCACGCCAGCCAUGGCGCUGCAGGUGCCCGUGUUGCUGGGCUGGCUGCUCGGGCAGUCCGCUGGAAAUGAGGAAAUAUUCACCCUUCCUCUGCCGCCAUUGGCCUUCCGCAUCUUGGGCCUUGCGGUGCAGCUGGAGCUGCCCAUCGACGCCGUGCAACUCACCACUGCUGAUAUGUCCCUGCUGUACCCCGACUGGACGAACACGACGCUGCGCGAGCAGCUGCUGCAAGGGCUGCGAGAGCUACACUCCCGCCAAGAAACUCAGCGGGAGGAGCAGGCGGCUGCCACCUUGGCUAGCGGCGCGGAGGACAAGCGCACCGUCGGACGCGGUAUCCUCGAUGACCUGUGCAUCUCCGGCAGCCCCGCCGUUGCGCUGCGCCAGCACCAGCGCAAGAAGGAGCUGAUCGAUGUCAGCCUCUCCAUAAUGUGGAAUAUCCAACGUGACGGCACGGUGGCCGGGCACGCUUUCUGGGCCGCCGUGCUGCAAGGCAUGCGUCAGACACCGCUGCUCGACACCCCGCUCUUCGCCCAGUGUAGCUCUCGCACCGUGCGCGAGGUGCUGUGCGGCUCUUACGACCACCUGGACGAAGACUUCACCUUCAGGAGGUCCUUUAUGCUGCUCGUGGAGGACGACGCAACGGUUGAGGGCAGCAGCGCCGCUGGAGGGGCGGCAACGCAGCUCCGCGGCGACCGUCAUUUUGCGCGCAAGUCGGUUCUGCGCGUCCUUGACGAACUCCCCCUCAAGGAGAAGCGUUUACUUCUGCGCUUCAUUACGGGCCACAGCCUGCGCACGCGUCGCUCGCAGAUGGACACGCUGCGUCUGGUCUUGCAGUCUGGAUUCGCCAGGGCACCACCGCGAUGCGGUAAGGCGAAACCGCCUGUGUGUAUGCCGUCUUGGUCGGGCGGGACCCAGCCAGAAGGCGUGGCGAUGGUGGGCGGCGGCGUUGUCAGCGCAGAGACGGCGUCGCUCGCGGGUGCUGAUGAAGACCACUCACACACCACGGCCUCGUCGUACCUCACAGCAUCUGCGGAGGCGGUCGCACGCGCAUGUGUCGACGCGACGAUGCAGCUGCUGCCGGUGGCCCACCCGAGCGAGAAGACGCUGGUCUUCCCAAACUACUUCGAAGCACUAAUUAUGGGGUCCUAUCGCAAGCGAGUCCUCGGCGCUGACCUGCCCGCCUUCAAUCACGCCUCCGGCACCGCCACGACGUCGGAGCUGCAGUUCCCCAUGAGGGCUAGCUGGGGCGCCGCAGCAGCAGCGGCGGGAGGGCACACCGUCUCAUGUGCAGCAAACUCUGCCGAGAGCUGCGUGAGUGUGCCGGCGUCCGUGAAUGGGAGCGUCGCCGCCCCAUUCUUCGAUAGCGCGGACGUGCAGCUCGCCUGGACACAACUAACGGUGACGCAGCAAGAGACGCUGCGCCGGCGCUACCGGGAGCUGCUGCGGCACCGCUUGCGUGCCGCCCUCUACGUCUACUUGCUCUCUAACGCCGAUACGGUGGAAGAGGCGUGGGAGCUAGGUCUCCAGAUGGGUUUCACCUCUCGUGCAGUGCGUAGCGGUGUGGCAUCAACGACGGCGGCUGAUCCCGGCGGGUGUGCAAGUCGAGAAUACAAUGACGACGUCGGCGGUGGCAUCGCGCUCGCCGGUGGCACCUUCAUGCGCUGCGAUGACGGGACAGUCGUGUUUGUCGAGCGCGAGACGGACGAGAACGACGACGGCGUCGCCGGCGACGUCCACGGCUUUGGUGUUGAGGACGACCUCGAUGACGAUCUGUUGGAGGCCGAUGGCAUGGUGCUAGCGGCCGCGAGCAAGGAAAUGACUCUCGACGCGGCGGCGCAUGCCGCCUCGGAGGAGCGGGGUGGUGGCGGUACCGACACGGCGACGCCGGGUAACACAGACCACGCCGGGCAGCAGAAGCGGCCGUUACUCCCCUCGGACCAGCUCACGAGCAGCGUCGGCACAUUGCAUGGCGAUCUGUGUGGCGACUCGACGAGGGGGGACAGCCUGAAUGGCUACUGCAUUGCCGCCACCUUCCGCUUUCCUGAGGACUCUGAAGAAGAUGCUGGUGAGAUGCAGACAGCCGCCGCUGGUGUGGAAGUUGUCUCUGGCUGCGAAGACGGUAGCAUAAACCCCGAAGCGACAUCAUCGUCGGCGACAGUGACGCUGCACAACCACGACGCGAGGGCAGACGUGGCGAGAGAGUUGGCCAGAGACGGCACGCAAGCCUCCCAUCCUGCGCCGCCCGCAUCGUCGGGUGCAUCAGCCGAGGCCGCCAAGUGCCCCAUGAGUGACGACCAAAGUUUAGUACCCAUGGCAGUGGCGCCGCCGCGCCACCCCUCGCUGUUGAAAGUCAGCAUGAUCACCCCUCUAUGGAAGGCGCAGAUGACCGCCGCGGCGGCGUCAGCGCGCAGCUCAUCGAUGGCGUUCACAGGCGCAGCCGUGAAGGCGGCAGGGGCGAAGACUGCGGUGCAGGCAGCGACAAACGGAGGCUCACGCGAUGCCUCCAUGAAGGCUACAUCCACCCCUGAUGUUGCUGUCACCGCGCAUGGCGUUGCUGGGCUGAGCAGGGAGUCGAAGGACGCGCAUCUGCGCUCCGAGAUCGACUCAUGCAUCCGCGAGCUCUUCUCCGAUGACGCGCCAUAGCUGUAAAAGCGCCUUGCCAAGGCUGAGACGGCUGCAUCGUACGUAAUUCCGCCUUCGCCCCCCCCUUACUCUCCCUUCCCCUGGUGUGUCAUUGUGGCUUCUGUCUUUUUCGGAUGGAGCUGCAGUUUUCCGCGGUACGCACACGUGCAAUCCACUAGCUUAGGCUCGCGGCGUCUUGCGUUUGCGUGCGUCGCCCGAUCCACCAGCUGUCGCCCUUUCGUUCUGGCAUAUCUUGCUUGUCCGUCUUUGUCGAUGCUGUACGACGCACACAUAUACGUGUGUGCUGCUGUAAUGGCGUCUGUGUCUCUAUGUAUGCGUCGGAAUAAUGCAUGCACACCCGCGUGUAGGUACAUAUAGAGUGGGAGAUGCAGUUGCUCGCAUGUAUAUCUUAUGUAUAUGUGUAUGUAUAUAUAUAUGUAUAAACAUAUAUGUAUAUGGAAUGACGCCUGUCAGCCUAUGUCUAUUUAUAUGCAUAUAUGUCUAAUUUGUUGCUGUUGCUAUGUACAUAUAUAUAUGGGGGGGGCGUUUGCGAAGAGGCGCCGCUCGUGCUGCGGCUCCUGUUUGUGUGCUGAAAAGGUCAUUUUCUUCUCUCUUCUGUUCUUCUUUCUUAUUCAUUCAUGUCUUCUUCGCCGAGCCUCUUCUUGUCGUUUCUCCCUUCCCCUUCCCCUCUCAUACACACAGGUGAAAGCGACGAAAAAAUACACACACUGCCGGUCUGCCCAUCUGUCUGUGUGUUUCUGUGUGUACCUCCCAUCUCUUGCACGCGCAAAAACGUGUCUUGAUUGUCUUCUUUUUGGUGUGGGCCUCUGUUCUCUUGGGCUCUCUUCUCCUUGCCAACUCCCUCCUUUUCCCUGCCCCUCUCCUUCCUCAGGAAACACGCACGCACACGUAUACGCGAAUCUCUCACGGGGAUCAGAAGAAAGCCAUCACUAAAACGUAUGCGCAUCUCUUGUACGAUACAUUCCUUUUCGGUUGGUGCCGUGUUCCUAUACGUUGUGUAACGUUUGUCAUCGGUCAAACUAAAAGAAAAAGGAAGGAGUGGGGCGCAGGCGCAGACGGAAGACCACGUUGGACGUGGCCUCCUACUCUUUUCGCCCUCCUCCUGAUUCUCUCUCCCUUUGAUAGACCCCACACGGGCACAUGCCCGCCUUGUCUCGUGCUUCGGUAUCCCCCCCCCCUCUCCCCCCUCUCCCUCCCUCGCUCCCCCUCCCCAGCCAUCUCGUCUCUGUUUCGCUCGUUGUUAUCGCGUAUCAUGCAUCUACCUCUUCCCUCCCCUCUGUGAAUCCGCCACGUGUAGGGCGGGUGGGCGCGAAGAAAAAAGAAGGGAAACCAAAAUACGCAUCCGCGGACAGGCUGCUUCUCCGCCCAAGGUCGUGCCGUCUAUAAUAAAUUCGUGUUCAUCUUAAGCUGCACUGGCGCGCGUUGUCGUUGCUCGUGCGCUCUCCUCUCCUUCCCCCUCAUCCCUUUUAGAGGGGAGCGUCUCGCUCUGCGGAGUCCUUCGCCCCUUCUCUGCCCAGCUGCUUUCUAAGCGUAGUUGAUCAAAUCCUUCGGAAAACUCCAUAAAAGGUAGCGCGGGCAGUCAUGUGCCUCCUUUCCUCCUCCUCCCCCUCCCCCUCCCUCUCCCUCUCCCUUCCUACUCCGGGGUCGUUGUUUGACCGCAUUGAUGAAGAGAGAGGGAGUAAGGGACCUGUUGAAGAGAAGGGGGAAGCUGAGGCGUUGGGGGAGGGCUGGAAGGCUGCACAUCGGCGAGGGAGUGUUGAAACUCCUGGAUAAUGGCUUCAAUCCCCCUUGGGGGGUGGCGUCGUCUGCGUUUUCCUAUAUAGUUAUAUAUAUAUAUGUUCUCCCACAUGCAUGUGUCGGGUGCGUAUGUCGCAUCAUGCCUGCCUCCUCCCUUUUACCGAUGUGUGUGUGUGUGUGUGUGCAUGUAAUGUGUGCACCUGGCCAUGUAUCUUCUUUACGCGUGCCUGGAACUGUAACAGGAGGGGCGCCGUGCGCCCUUAUCCUUCUCGUCUUUCCUUUCGUCAUCGUUGAUCGCUCUGUCUUCCUCACCCUACUACCUCGCACGAUCCUCCUCCUUAGGGCACAGAGAGGUUGUCGCUCUCCGCGCUCGCUCUUCUGCUGCGCAUCUUCUCUGCUCCGCCUCCCCUGUGCCGGUAGUGAAAGGCACCUUUGAUUCGCGGAUGUUUGGUGUGCUGGGGGGGUGUUUCUCUGCGUUUGUUGUGGAUGGCACACCUCCCGCGCCUUCCGGGACUUCACACUCGACGGUAGCGGCCACUGACUUGGCCAGUAACAUGU
RNAcentral lists this unclassified non-coding RNA (9488 nucleotides) under Leishmania donovani. RNAcentral describes it as "gene:LdHU3.13.1190(CDS-product:hypothetical_prote in_conserved)". The record is from RNAcentral. Lineage: Eukaryota; Euglenozoa; Kinetoplastea; Trypanosomatida; Trypanosomatidae.